This 442-nucleotide long non-coding RNA is filed under the name Vigna radiata. Its description in RNAcentral is "long non-coding RNA (VRAD_LNC003785)". The record is from RNAcentral. Lineage: Eukaryota; Viridiplantae; Streptophyta; Magnoliopsida; Fabales; Fabaceae.
ACAGGGGUGAUGUUGUGCCGAAGGAUGUGAAUGCUGCAGUGGCGACCAUCAAGACCAAGAGAACCAUCCAGUUUGUGGAUUGGUGCCCCACUGGGUUCAAGUGUGGUAUCAAUUACCAACCUCCAACUGUUGUUCCCGGAGGUGACCUUGCGAAGGUCCAGCGGGCUGUGUGCAUGAUUUCUAACUCAACCAGUGUGGCUGAAGUGUUCUCAAGGAUUGAUCAUAAGUUUGAUCUGAUGUAUGCGAAGAGGGCAUUCGUCCACUGGUAUGUGGGUGAAGGUAUGGAAGAGGGUGAGUUCUCAGAGGCUCGUGAGGACCUUGCUGCUCUUGAGAAAGAUUACGAGGAGGUUGGCGCUGAGUCUGGCGAUGGAGAAGAUGUUGACGGAGAUGAGGAAUAUUAGAAUCUGGAAUAUCUGUCUGAUAUCAUCAUGUGUUUCAUGUU